RNAcentral lists this ribosomal RNA (500 nucleotides) under uncultured bacterium. RNAcentral's name for it is "partial 16S ribosomal RNA". It matches the Rfam family "Bacterial small subunit ribosomal RNA", at positions 30 to 526 of the family's 1533-position model. The record is from RNAcentral.
AUUGAACGCUGGCGGAAUGCUUUACACAUGCAAGUCGAACGGCAGCACGGACUUCGGUCUGGUGGCGAGUGGCGAACGGGUGAGUAAUGUAUCGGAACGUGCCCAGUCGUGGGGGAUAACGUAGUGAAAAUUACGCUAAUACCGCAUACGAUCUAUGGAUGAAAGCGGGGGAUCGCAAGACCUCGCGCGAUUGGAGCGGCCGAUAUCAGAUUAGGUAGUUGGUGGGGUAAAGGCUCACCAAGCCAACGAUCUGUAGCUGGUCUGAGAGGACGACCAGCCACACUGGAACUGAGACACGGUCCAGACUCCUACGGGAGGCAGAAGUGGGGAAUUUUGGACAAUGGGCGAAAGCCUGAUCCAGCCAUUCCGCGUGCAGGAUGAAGGCCCUCGGGUUGUAAACUGCUUUUGUACAGAACGAAAAGGUUUCUACUAAUACUAGGAGCUCAUGACGGUACUGUAAGAAUAAGCACCGGCUAACUACGUGCCAGCCGCCGUAAGAC